UUAAGCGACUAAGCGUACACGGUGGAUGCCCUGGCAGUCAGAGGCGAUGAAGGACGUGCUAAUCUGCGAAAAGCGUCGGUAAGGUGAUAUGAACCGUUAUAACCGGCGAUGUCCGAAUGGGGAAACCCAGUGCAAUUCGUUGCACUAUCGUUAACUGAAUACAUAGGUUAACGAGGCGAACCGGGGGAACUGAAACAUCUAAGUACCCCGAGGAAAAGAAAUCAACCGAGAUUCCCCCAGUAGCGGCGAGCGAACGGGGAGCAGCCCAGAGUCUGAAUCAGCUUGUGUGUUAGUGGAACGGUCUGGAAAGUCCGACGGUACAGGGUGAUAGUCCCGUACACCAAAAUGCACAGGCUGUGAACUCGAAGAGUAGGGCGGGACACGUGGUAUCCUGUCUGAAUAUGGGGGGACCAUCCUCCAAGGCUAAAUACUCCUGACUGACCGAUAGUGAACCAGUACCGUGAGGGAAAGGCGAAAAGAACCCCGGCGAGGGGAGUGAAAAAGAACCUGAAACCGUGUACGUACAAGCAGUGGGAGCACCUUCGGGUGUGACUGCGUACCUUUUGUAUAAUGGGUCAGCGACUUAUAUUCUGUAGCAAGGUUAACCGUAUAGGGGAGCCGCAGGGAAACCGAGUCUUAACUGGGCGUUAAGUUGCAGGGUAUAGACCCGAAACCCGGUGAUCUAGCCAUGGGCAGGUUGAAGGUUGGGUAACACUAACUGGAGGACCGAACCGACUAAUGUUGAAAAAUUAGCGGAUGACUUGUGGCUGGGGGUGAAAGGCCAAUCAAACCGGGAGAUAGCUGGUUCUCCCCGAAAGCUAUUUAGGUAGCGCCUCGUGAAUUCAUCUUCGGGGGUAGAGCACUGUUUCGGCUAGGGGGUCAUCCCGACUUACCAACCCGAUGCAAACUACGAAUACCGAAGAAUGUUAUCACGGGAGACACACGGCGGGUGCUAACGUCCGUCGUGAAGAGGGAAACAACCCAGACCGCCAGCUAAGGUCCCAAAGUCAUGGUUAAGUGGGAAACGAUGUGGGAAGGCACAGACAGCCAGGAUGUUGGCUUAGAAGCAGCCAUCAUUUAAAGAAAGCGUAAUAGCUCACUGGUCGAGUCGGCCUGCGCGGAAGAUGUAACGGGGCUAAACCAUGCACCGAAGCUGCGGCAGCGACACUAUGUGUUGUUGGGUAGGGGAGCGUUCUGUAAGCCUGCGAAGGUGACCUGUGAGGGUUGCUGGAGGUAUCAGAAGUGCGAAUGCUGACAUAAGUAACGAUAAAGCGGGUGAAAAGCCCGCUCGCCGGAAGACCAAGGUUCCUGUCCAACGUUAAUCGGGGCAGGGUGAGUCGACCCCUAAGGCGAGGCCGAAAGGCGUAGUCGAUGGGAAACAGGUUAAUAUUCCUGUACUUGGUGUUACUGCGAAGGGGGGACGGAGAAGGCUAUGUUAGCCGGGCGACGGUUGUCCCGGUUUAAGCAUGUAGGCUGGUUAUCCAGGCAAAUCCGGAUAAUCAAGGCUGAGGUGUGAUGACGAGGCACUACGGUGCUGAAGUAACAAAUGCCCUGCUUCCAGGAAAAGCCUCUAAGCAUCAGGUAACAUCAAAUCGUACCCCAAACCGACACAGGUGGUCAGGUAGAGAAUACCAAGGCGCUUGAGAGAACUCGGGUGAAGGAACUAGGCAAAAUGGUGCCGUAACUUCGGGAGAAGGCACGCUGGUGUGUAGGUGAAGCCCCUGCGGGUGGAGCUGAGACCAGUCGAAGAUACCAGCUGGCUGCAACUGUUUAUUAAAAACACAGCACUGUGCAAACACGAAAGUGGACGUAUACGGUGUGACGCCUGCCCGGUGCCGGAAGGUUAAUUGAUGGGGUUAUCCGUAAGGAGAAGCUCUUGAUCGAAGCCCCGGUAAACGGCGGCCGUAACUAUAACGGUCCUAAGGUAGCGAAAUUCCUUGUCGGGUAAGUUCCGACCUGCACGAAUGGCGUAAUGAUGGCCAGGCUGUCUCCACCCGAGACUCAGUGAAAUUGAACUCGCUGUGAAGAUGCAGUGUACCCGCGGCAAGACGGAAAGACCCCGUGAACCUUUACUAUAGCUUGACACUGAACAUUGAGCCUUGAUGUGUAGGAUAGGUGGGAGGCUUUGAAGCGUGGACGCCAGUCUGCGUGGAGCCAACCUUGAAAUACCACCCUUUAAUGUUUGAUGUUCUAACGUUGGCCCCUGACCGGGGGUUGCGGACAGUGUCUGGUGGGUAGUUUGACUGGGGCGGUCUCCUCCCAAAGCGUAACGGAGGAGCACGAAGGUUAGCUAAUCCUGGUCGGACAUCAGGAGGUUAGUGCAAUGGCAUAAGCUAGCUUGACUGCGAGCGUGACGGCGCGAGCAGGUGCGAAAGCAGGUCAUAGUGAUCCGGUGGUUCUGAAUGGAAGGGCCAUCGCUCAACGGAUAAAAGGUACUCCGGGGAUAACAGGCUGAUACCGCCCAAGAGUUCAUAUCGACGGCGGUGUUUGGCACCUCGAUGUCGGCUCAUCACAUCCUGGGGCUGAAGUAGGUCCCAAGGGUAUGGCUGUUCGCCAUUUAAAGUGGUACGCGAGCUGGGUUUAGAACGUCGUGAGACAGUUCGGUCCCUAUCUGCCGUGGGCGCUGGAGAAUUGAGGGGGCUGCUCCUAGUACGAGAGGACCGGAGUGGACGCAUCACUGGUGUUCGGGUUGUCAUGCCAAUGGCACUGCCCGGUAGCUAAAUGCGGAAGAGAUAAGUGCUGAAAGCAUCUAAGCACGAAACUUGCCCCGAGAUGAGUUCUCCCUGAGACUUUAAGUCUCCUGAAGGAACGUUGAAGACGAUGACGUUGAUAGGCCGGGUGUGUAAGCGCAGCGAUGCGUUGAGCUAACCGGUACUAAUGAACCGUGAGGCUUAACCUU
This 2899-nucleotide ribosomal RNA is filed under the name Klebsiella pneumoniae. RNAcentral's name for it is "bacterial LSU rRNA". It matches the Rfam family "Bacterial large subunit ribosomal RNA". The record is from RNAcentral. Lineage: Bacteria; Pseudomonadati; Pseudomonadota; Gammaproteobacteria; Enterobacterales; Enterobacteriaceae.